This 304-nucleotide ribosomal RNA is filed under the name uncultured Ascomycota. RNAcentral's name for it is "eukaryotic LSU rRNA". The stretch from base 1 to 122 matches the Rfam family "5.8S ribosomal RNA", at positions 33 to 154 of the family's 154-position model. The record is from RNAcentral. Lineage: Eukaryota; Fungi; Ascomycota.
UCGAUGAAGAACGCAGCGAAAUGCGAUAAGUAAUGUGAAUUGCAGAAUUCAGUGAAUCAUCGAAUCUUUGAACGCACAUUGCGCCCUUUGGCAUUCCGAAGGGCAUACCUGUUCGAGCGUCAUUACACCCCUCAAAGAUGACUCUUUGGCGUUGGGCAAUGCCUAAAGGCAUGCCUCAAAAUCAGCGAUGGUGAUAUUCAACCACAGGCGCACACACGUCGUCUAGCUGGCGGGAUGUUGACAGUCAAUUGAUGAAUUUCUAAAUGUUGACCUCGGAUCAGGUAGGAAUACCCGCUGAACUUAA